AAGUACAUUCUUACAACAUAGUGUUAAUGCAUGAGAUCCCAUUAGAACUCUGCAGUUAAGUGUGGUCGGGCUAGAGUAGUACUAGGAUGGGUGAUCGCCUGGGACAUCCUAGUAUUUUACAUG
Picea glauca (white spruce) is the source of this 123-nucleotide non-coding RNA. The record is from Rfam. NCBI's taxonomy places the organism in Eukaryota, Viridiplantae, Streptophyta, Pinopsida, Pinales, Pinaceae.